Molecule: small nucleolar RNA, 129 nt
Filed under: Sorex araneus (European shrew)
Lineage: Eukaryota; Metazoa; Chordata; Mammalia; Eulipotyphla; Soricidae
Description: Small nucleolar RNA SNORA72 (ENSSARG00000015940.1)
Rfam family: Small nucleolar RNA SNORA72
About the family: U72 is a member of the H/ACA class of snoRNAs.
Source: RNAcentral
AUGCAAAUACUCUUGCUGUUCUAAUUUUAUAAUAGUCAGGACAGGCUAAACAUUUGCUAUAAUAUGAUAAAGUAUCAGAUCUGGUACUUAAUCCGUCUAGGUCUGGUCUUUGAAAUGCUGGUGAUAAAU